AUUGAACGCUGGCGACAGGCUUAACACAUGCAAGUCGAGCGGAGAUGAGGUGCUUGCACCUUAUCUUAGCGGCGGACGGGUGAGUAAUGCUUAGGAAUCUGCCUAUUAGUGGGGGACAACAUUCCGAAAGGAAUGCUAAUACCGCAUACGUCCUACGGGAGAAAGCAGGGGAUCUUCGGACCUUGCGCUAAUAGAUGAGCCUAAGUCGGAUUAGCUAGUUGGUGGGGUAAAGGCCUACCGAGGCGACGAUCUGUAGCGGGUUUGAGAGGAUGAUCCGCCACACUGGGACUGGGACACGGCCCAGACUCCUACGGGAGGCAGCGGUGGGGAAUAUUGGACAAUGGGGGGAACACUGAUCCAGCCAUGCCGCGUGUGUGAAGAAGGCCUUAUGGUUGUAAAGCACUUUAAGCGAGGAGGAGGCUACUGAGACUAAUACUCUUGGAUAGUGGACGUUACUCGCAGAAUAAGCACCGGCUAACUCUGUGCCAGCCGCCGCCGUAA
This 501-nucleotide ribosomal RNA is filed under the name uncultured bacterium. RNAcentral describes it as "partial 16S ribosomal RNA". It matches the Rfam family "Bacterial small subunit ribosomal RNA", at positions 30 to 523 of the family's 1533-position model. The record is from RNAcentral.